ACAAGAUGGUCAACUGGUACACGGAGGCCGUGAACCACGUCGCUCAAGGUGGGCGCCCAGAUCGCCGGCGGGACCGACGCUUCCAACCACGCCAGCAGCGUCGUCACCUUCGCCAAGAACCUCGUCAAGAGCUUGAGCCUCCCGGACAAGACGAUCAUGGGAACUGACAGGUACAUGACGAAGAUGGCGAAAGAAAUUCCCAUGAAGAUGCGAAAGUACGUGGGGAUCGUCGUGGACAUGGGGAGCCACCCUUCGUCCAUGCGGGACAACUCCAGGAUACUUCUCAAGUCGCCGACUUUCAUUAACAGGACCUUGGAAGACCUCGUUAGGAAUCA
Molecule: long non-coding RNA, 335 nt
Organism: Rhipicephalus microplus (southern cattle tick)
Lineage: Eukaryota; Metazoa; Arthropoda; Arachnida; Ixodida; Ixodidae
Source: RefSeq, a predicted model, not a curated record